CACCGGAGCCACAAGUGGAGAUCAGCAUUAUUUGGUCUAAAGCGUCCGUAGCAUGUUCAAUAACUCUUUUGUGAAAUUGUUAGGCUCAACUUAACAACGUGCAAGAGAAACUGUUGGGCUUGAGACCGGGAGGGGAUAGGAGAAUUUCAGGGGGAGCGGUAAAAUGUGAUAAUCCCUGGAAGACUACCUGUGGCGAAGGCGCCUAUCCAGAACGGGUCUGACUGUGAGGGACGAAGGCUAGGAGA
Molecule: ribosomal RNA, 245 nt
Filed under: uncultured archaeon
Lineage: Archaea
Description: partial 16S ribosomal RNA
Rfam family: Archaeal small subunit ribosomal RNA
Source: RNAcentral